RNAcentral lists this unclassified non-coding RNA (200 nucleotides) under uncultured Mucor. Its description in RNAcentral is "sequence contains ITS2". The record is from RNAcentral. Lineage: Eukaryota; Fungi; Mucoromycota; Mucoromycetes; Mucorales; Mucoraceae.
UUAAGUUCAGCGGGUAAUCCCACCUGAUUUCAGAUCAAAUUUAAAAGAGAUCUAUUUGGGAGGCCCCAUCAAAGUCAAUUACAAGAGCUUUCCUUUAUAUUAAAAAAGUUCAGGCAUUAAACAAGUUCAGGCCUUAGUAAAUUUCAAGGGUUUCAAGAUCUAUACAGAUCGAGAGGCCCCCAAUAAUCCUAUACAACAAA